Bombyx mori (domestic silkworm) is the source of this 563-nucleotide long non-coding RNA. RefSeq lists it as uncharacterized. NCBI's taxonomy places the organism in Eukaryota, Metazoa, Arthropoda, Insecta, Lepidoptera, Bombycidae. The transcript is spliced from 3 exons. The record is from RefSeq and is a predicted model, not a curated record.
UGUCAAAUUGUCACCCUGUCAAAUUAAAAUGUAAAAAACAAUUAAGCGAACAAAAUAUUUCUAUAGCUUCCUAUAAAAUAUACCGCGUAUUGGACAACAGAUUUUAAUCAUUUUAUGUUAACUAGUACUAUUGUUUCAUCUAGACUCUAGAGUUUUCUUUUCUCAAGCUGGAAUGAAUUAUUUGUCUACUUAUUAAGAAACGCGAUCAUUUCCUUCAACCUCCCUCAACAAACCUUCAACUUUUCUAAGGUGGAUCAAUGGCCUCCAGAUUGAUAAAGGAUUUUUCUGACUUCACGGGCAAGAACCUAUGGAUUUUUUUAUAACGAAGCAACGAGUAUGCUUGAAAAAGUCAUCUCACAGUACAAAGUUCAUCAAACAGUCUUUUCAUGACCGAAAUAUAUGUACCAUGACGCAUCUCAAAGCAUUUUCCGGUCAAACGUGACGCAAGAUAUUGCCCUCAGUACGCACCCAGAAGACAGAUAGACAAUAUUGUGAAAAUCCCAUAGCUAUAUAUCCAAUAACUAAGAGUGUAGAUAAUCUGGAAAUUAAAUACUUCGACUCUU